GACGAACGCUGGCGGCGUGCUUAACACAUGCAAGUCGAACGCUGAAGACCUGGCUUUUGUUGGUUUUGAUGAGUGGCGAACGGGUGAGUAACACGUGAGUAACCUGCCCUCUUCUUUGGGAUAACGCCCGGAAACGGGUGCUAAUACUGGCUAUUCACUGAUCUUCGCAUGGGGGUUGUUGGAAAGGUUUGUUCUGGUGGGGGAUGGGCUCGCGGCCUAUCAGCUUGUUGGUGGGGUGAUGGCCUACCAAGGCUUUGACGGGUAGCCGGCCUGAGAGGGUGACCGGUCACAGUGGGACUGAGAUACGGCCCAGACUCCUACGGGAGGCAGCAGUGGGGAAUAGUGCACAAUGGGCGAAAGCCUGAUGCAGCGACGCCGCGUGAGGGAGGGAGGCCUUCGGGUUGUAAACCUCUUUCGCUCAUGGUCAAGCCGCAACUGUGGGUUGUGGUGAGGGUAGUGGGUAAAGAAGCGCCGGCUAACUACGUG
RNAcentral lists this ribosomal RNA (486 nucleotides) under uncultured bacterium. Its description in RNAcentral is "partial 16S ribosomal RNA". It matches the Rfam family "Bacterial small subunit ribosomal RNA", at positions 28 to 507 of the family's 1533-position model. The record is from RNAcentral.